AGAUUGAACGCUGGCGGCAUGCCUUACACAUGCAAGUCGAACGGCAGCACGGGAGCAAUCCUGGUGGCGAGUGGCGAACGGGUGAGUAAUACAUCGGAACGUGCCCAAUCGUGGGGGAUAACGCAGCGAAAGCUGUGCUAAUACCGCAUAAGAUCUACGGAUGAAAGCAGGGGAUCGCAAGACCUUGCGCGAAUGGAGCGGCCGAUGGCAGAUUAGGUAGUUGGUGAGGUAAGGCUCACCAAGUCUUCGAUCUGUAGCUGGUCUGGAGAGGACCGACCAGCCCACUACGUGGGACCUGGACGACCGACCGGCCCAGUACCUCCGUAACGGGAGGCAGCGAGGUAGGGGUAACUUUGGACAAGUGGGACGAAAGCCGUGACUCCGAG
Molecule: ribosomal RNA, 386 nt
Filed under: uncultured soil bacterium
Lineage: Bacteria
Description: bacterial SSU rRNA
Rfam family: Bacterial small subunit ribosomal RNA
Source: RNAcentral